GAGCUCUCAUCUCCUCUGCAUUUGCGAAAUUUCCAAGUGUAGAUCUAGCUUCAAGGAGCAACCCGAGACUUCUAGGAAAGCGUACCUUUGAGACAACAAGCAUGCGUGUGAUCAGUCGAGAUGCGGCCAUGCACCUGCUUGAUGUGGACGACGGCAAGGCUCGAGACGUCGACCGCGCGACCGAUGGUUCAACUAUGGGACUGGCGAGAGCAGAGGAUGCGAGACGAUAUGAUGCGAGCGUUGGAGGCCUUGGAGGGCACGCGGCCUAUGAGUCGGGUAUUGAGUGGGGAUGGUUCAACUAUGGGACUGGCGAGAGCAGAGGAUGCGAGACGAUAUGAUGCGAGCGUUGGAGGCCUUGGAGGGCACGCGGCCUAUGAGUCGGGUAUUGAGUGGGAUAAUUGAGUCUGUACUGGGGGUGAGGUCGAGUGUUGUUUUAGGGCUCGAUACCUACUUAAAGCCAUCGUGUAUGUGGAUGAGCUUAAGUAAGGUUGAAAGCAUUAGUUUCCUUUAUUGAGUCUUGAUGUAAUAAAAAGCCUUGGUCUAUUAAAUAAAAUGAAGUUUAU
Lotus japonicus is the source of this 563-nucleotide long non-coding RNA. RefSeq lists it as uncharacterized. NCBI's taxonomy places the organism in Eukaryota, Viridiplantae, Streptophyta, Magnoliopsida, Fabales, Fabaceae. The transcript has 3 exons. The record is from RefSeq and is a predicted model, not a curated record.